GCUCAAAUAUGGGGUGAACGCCCUCCGAAGGCAGGGGUCGAAGGUUCGAAUCCUUCUGGGCGCGCCA
Molecule: transfer RNA, 67 nt
Filed under: Halomonas sp. BC04
Lineage: Bacteria; Pseudomonadati; Pseudomonadota; Gammaproteobacteria; Oceanospirillales; Halomonadaceae
Description: tRNA-Ser
Source: RNAcentral